RNAcentral lists this ribosomal RNA (497 nucleotides) under uncultured bacterium. Its description in RNAcentral is "partial 16S ribosomal RNA". It matches the Rfam family "Bacterial small subunit ribosomal RNA", at positions 28 to 507 of the family's 1533-position model. The record is from RNAcentral.
GAUGAACGCUGGCGGCGUGCCUAAUACAUGCAAGUCGAGCGAACGGACGAGAAGCUUGCUUCUCUGAUGUUAGCGGCGGACGGGUGAGUAACACGUGGAUAACCUACCUAUAAGACUGGGAUAACUUCGGGAAACCGGAGCUAAUACCGGAUAAUAUUUUGAACCGCAUGGUUCAAAAGUGAAAGACGGUCUUGCUGUCACUUAUAGAUGGAUCCGCGCUGCAUUAGCUAGUUGGUAAGGUAACGGCUUACCAAGGCAACGAUGCAUAGCCGACCUGAGAGGAUGAUCGGCCACACUGGAACUGAGACACGGUCCAGACUCCUAAGGGAGGCAGCAGUAGGGAAUCUUCCGCAAUGGGCGAAAGCCUGACGGAGCAACGCCGCGUGAGUGAUGAAGGUCUUCGGAUCGUAAAACUCUGUUAUUAGGGAAGAACAUAUGUGUAAGUACCUGUGCACAUCUUGACGGUACCUAAUCAGAAAGCCACGGCUAACUACGUG